This 520-nucleotide ribosomal RNA is filed under the name uncultured prokaryote. RNAcentral's name for it is "bacterial SSU rRNA". It matches the Rfam family "Bacterial small subunit ribosomal RNA", at positions 386 to 873 of the family's 1533-position model. The record is from RNAcentral.
GUGCAGGGCUCCUACUUGCUUAAAACCGGGGGUGAAUAGUAAAACUCUUGGCCGGGGGACGACCAGUACCAGUACAAUUUCUUGGGCUCCUGACGGUCCCUGAACAAUAAGCACCGGCUAACUACGUGCCACCAGCCGGGUCAAUACUUAUGGUGCAAACGUUAAUCGAAAUUACUGGGCCUAAAGCGUGCGCAAGCGGCCCGGUAAAACCGAGAUGAAANCCCCGAGCUCAACCUGGUAAUUGCCUUGGAGACUGCACGGCUUCCCUCUGUCAAAGGGAAAUUGAAUUCCAUUUGUAACAAUGACAUGCGUAAAGAUGUGGAGGAACACCGAUGGCGAAGGCUGCCCCCUGAAACAUUAUUGACCCACAUGCACAAAAUCCUCGGGAGCACACAGCAUUAAAUACCCUGCUAAUCCACUCCCUAAAAAAUAUCCACUAUUUGUCCGGUAUAUUUACUUAUUACCCCCCCUAACGCCUCAAGUAGACCGCCAAGCACUACAACUCACGCAUAAACUCAAA